CCUACGGGAGGCAGCAGUAGGGAAUUUUUCACAAUGGGCGAAAGCCUGAUGGAGCAACGCCGCGUGCAGGAUGAAGGCCUUCGGGUUGUAAACUGCUUUUAUAAGCGAGAAAUAUGAUGGUAACUUAUGAAUAAGGAUCGGCUAACAACGUGCCAGCAGCCGCGGUCAUACGUAGGAUCCGAGCAUUAGCCGGAUUGACGGGGUGUAAAGGGUUGCGUAGGUGGCAUAAUAAGUAGCUAGUGAAAUCUGGUGGCUCAACCGUGGAAUUGCAGUUGAAACUGGAGGCCUUGAGUGCACAAAGGGAUGCCGGAAUUCAUGGUGUAGCGGUGAAAUGCUUAGAUAUAAUGAAGAACACCGAUCGCGAAGGCAAGUGUCCGGGGUGCAACUGACGCUGAGGCUCGAAAGUGCGGGUAUCAAACAGGAUUAGAUACCCCUGUAGUC
Molecule: ribosomal RNA, 441 nt
Filed under: uncultured bacterium
Lineage: Bacteria
Description: partial 16S ribosomal RNA
Rfam family: Bacterial small subunit ribosomal RNA
Source: RNAcentral